RNAcentral lists this non-coding RNA (208 nucleotides) under Halalkalibacter akibai. RNAcentral's name for it is "Bacillus akibai T-box sequence". It matches the Rfam family "T-box leader". From Rfam's summary of the family: Uncharged tRNA acts as the effector for transcription antitermination of genes in the T-box leader family. T-boxes are found upstream of many aminoacyl-tRNA synthetase genes and some amino acid biosynthetic genes usually in Gram-positive bacteria. The record is from RNAcentral. Lineage: Bacteria; Bacillati; Bacillota; Bacilli; Caryophanales; Bacillaceae.
GAGAAAACGUUGAAGGAACAAGUAUGAAGCAGCCCGUUUCAAGAGAAGUGUACCCGUGGCUGAGAGGUACACUAAACGAAGAGUUUCAGAAAGCUACUCCCGAGUGCAGAUAAUCUCUGCCGUCCGCCGCGUUAAGGCUAUUAAGUGAUAGACAGUUUAAUGUCUAUAAUUAGGGUGGUACCGCGUGAUCAUAACUCUCGUCCCUUUU